Molecule: long non-coding RNA, 2661 nt
Filed under: Olea europaea subsp. europaea
Lineage: Eukaryota; Viridiplantae; Streptophyta; Magnoliopsida; Lamiales; Oleaceae
Source: RNAcentral
UACUAAACGUCGUCUGGAUCCGCGCGCCUGUUUACCCAAUUCUAACUCCAUAUUUUCUAAAUUGAGCGACUGUGCUGAGCCGUUCACUUCUUCAUCUCCAUCUGACAUCCGCAAGAACUUGCAACUCUGCUGCGGCAACAUGCUUCCAAAGGUAAAGCCCUAACUUCUAAUUCUUCAAAUAUUCUAUCAAAUUGAUGUGUGGUUGCUGUUAUGUAAUUGUGUAGACUAUUACAGUAUUCUGCUUCCUGAUUCAAGGUUACGGUAUUUUGCUUCCUGUUUGUGUUAAUAGUGAGAAAUGGGCUCAAAUGGAUGACAUUAAUGGAGCACUAAAGUUGGGCAGCAAGUUGAAAAAUAAAGAAAAAUCCUAUAUAACGAGUAUGGGCGAUUUUCUCUAUAUCCAACCCUCAGAACUGAAGUUCCCAUGUUAGUCAAUUAUUAUUUUUUUAUUGUAAUAUUUUUUUCUUCUAAUUUGGCUUUAAACUAUGUCGAAAUAGUUUUGUUAUGAUUCUUUUGAUGUGGGCUUUUGCUGGUUGAGGUUUUUUAUUAAUUGAAGAUGGCAAAUAUUUUUAUAUCUUUUUUCCCAGUAAGGAGACGUAAAAAUUUGUUUCCUCUAUGUUUAAUAUUUUUACUGUUGGGAUUGAUUAUUUUUGUGCUGGUUUUUGUGGCCUGUGAUGAUGAAGAUGAAUUGAGAAAGCAGAGUUCAUUUUCAGUGCAGUUCACUAAUAAGAGUAAUCAGUACCUUGCUUUCAAGGUAUUUUUCUUAUUUUAUUGCAGAUUAUAGUCAACAGAUUGAAAGCUCUGUUAAGCAUGUGGUGAUACUUAUAUCAUCGUUUUGAUUAAUGGAUUUUUAAUGGAAAAGGUCAAAACAACCAGCCCAGAGAGGUACUGUGUUCGACCAAAUGUCGGUAUCUAUUUAUAAUGCAAGCACACAAAGAGGCGCUCGCUGAUAUGCAGGGCAAGGACAAGUUUCUAAUCCAGAGUGUUGUUGCUCCCAGUGGCACAACAAAGAAAGAUAUAGAACAUCUUCAUUACUUGAGGCUGUAAGUUCUUAGUGCAUUCCUUCCCCAUCUACUCAACCUUGGGAACAAAUGUUUCACUGUCUACGAAUUUAUUAGGUAAUGAGAUUGUUAGACAAAUCCAAUUAGGGAUGUCAACGAGCCAAGCCGAGUCGAGCCUAAAAUUUUAGGCUCGAUUAAAAUGGUCGAGCUUUUUUACGAGCCCGAGCUCGAGCCAAGCCGAGCUUUUGCUCGGCCAAAAAAUUUCGGCUCGGCCCUAGCUUUCGGAUCGGGCUUUUACGGGCAAAGCCGGGCAAGCUCUUUUUUUUUUUUUUUAAUUAAAUAUAAAACUGCAUUUUUAAAGGCAGCAAACUUGGCAUAAUUCUACCUUGCUGCCUCUUUUUCUUCUCUCAUUUUUUUUAAAUAAAAGCCACGGGGUGGCUAGGGCUCUGCCCAAGCCUCCGAGCUUUUUUGACACCCCUAAAUCCAAUGGGAAAUUAUCAUCAUCCAGGUGAGCAAUUACUUUUGUGAUGUCUCAUUGCAAAUUCUGCAGUUAUGUUGAUAAAUAAUUAUGCUAUAAAAAGUAUGAAGUCCAUGAAUAGUUCAAGUCGUAUCAGAUGUAAAGCACCUUGUUAUGUAUUAGUGAUUUUUAUAGUUCUUGCAAUGAUAUUUUGUCAUUCUAAGAUGCAGUAAGUAACUUCUUCUUCUUUUUUCUCUUAUGACGAUUUCAGUUUUUGUGGCUAAAUAGUGAGGAUAGUAAUAUCAUUAUCUUUGUAAUGGUGUUUCCGUCCAUGCCUACUCGACUGUAUUCUAUAAUGGAAGUUUUUGUCUCUGCUUUCUUGAGUGCCUUAGAUAAUUGAGUACAUGUUUAAUUUGUAAGCCAAAUACAUUUUCAUUAUAUGCAGUUUUUGUCUUUUUCUGCUGGUAAAAUUAGCCGAUCAUUACUUGAGAAGGAUAUGGUUUAAGGAAAUCUAUCAUUAUGUUGGUAAAAUUAGCUGAUCAUUAUAUUAUGUCUAUUUCUUAGCAAUGUUCAACUCAUGUCAAGAAGCAAGUUUGUCGUUACUGUUUUAGUGAAGUUUCCAUACAAUUUGUAGUUAGAUUUAAUUUUUGUUACGUUGUUUUCCACGCACUUGUUUGAAUAAAUUUUGACAAAAUGAGUGAAAAUAUAUCUAAGUAUAUUAUUUAUUUUUAUGAUAUGCAGGGAGUUGGUUAUUUUUGAGAUAGCUAAAAUGUUGAUCAAAGAAGCAAAUUUAUUGAUGUAUGGAACAAUUAUUUUUUAAUAGUUUAACUAGUUAUUUUGGAAUAGUAGUCUACAUUUUGGCAUAUUGUAUUGGUGCACACUCGAUACUUUCAUUCAUUGAAUUUAUAAAAAACAUGAUUAUAUAUUUAUUGAUAUAUGAUUAUGUUCUUUAAUUAUUUGUGUUUGGUGAUCAAAUAAAUAAUUAUUUUAAAAAAAAAUUAGAUGGACAUUUACGGCAUACAUUAAAGUAUGCUGUAAAAAAUAUCAUCUUUUUAACAGUGUGUGGAUGCAUGCCAUGAAAAAGUUAGUAUUUAGGGCGUGCUUUUUGAGUUUUUACGACAUGCAAUGUAUGCCGUAAAAAGAUGUGAGUAUUUACGGCAUAACUUUAUAUGGCAUUCAAGCGUACGCCGUAAAUAGCUAUAUGUC